This 460-nucleotide ribosomal RNA is filed under the name uncultured bacterium. Its description in RNAcentral is "partial 16S ribosomal RNA". It matches the Rfam family "Bacterial small subunit ribosomal RNA", at positions 338 to 795 of the family's 1533-position model. The record is from RNAcentral.
CCUACGGGUGGCAGCAGUGAGGAAUAUUGGUCAAUGGGCGGAAGCCUGAACCAGCCAAGUAGCGUGCAGGAUGACGGCCCUACGGGUUGUAAACUGCUUUUAUACGGGAAUAACGCGCCUUACGUGUAGGGCUUUGCAUGUACCGUAUGAAUAAGGACCGGCUAAUUCCUUGCCAGCAGCCGCGGUAAUACGGAAGGUCCGGGCGUUAUCCUGCUUUAUUGGGUUUAAAGGGAGCGUAGGCCUCAUGUCAAGCGUGCUGUGAAAUUGCCGGGCUCAACCCGGGCCUUGCAGCGCGAACUGGCGUGCUUGAGUCCGCGGAAAGCAGGCGGAAUUCGUCGUGUAGCGGUGAAAUGCUUAGAUAUGACGAAGAACCCCGAUUGCGAAGGCAGCUUGCUGCAGCGGAACUGACGCUGAUGCUCGAAAGCGCGGGUAUCGAACAGGAUUAGAUACCCUGGUAGUC